This is a long non-coding RNA of Eubalaena glacialis (North Atlantic right whale), 367 nucleotides long. RefSeq lists it as uncharacterized. NCBI's taxonomy places the organism in Eukaryota, Metazoa, Chordata, Mammalia, Artiodactyla, Balaenidae. The transcript is spliced from 3 exons. The record is from RefSeq and is a predicted model, not a curated record.
CAGGGAGAAAAAAACAAUCCUGGUGGUUGACAUCAGGAAGGCGAAGCCACGGAGUUAGAACAGAAUUCUUCCAAAGUAUAUGUAAGCAAAAUACUAACCCACAUUGGUCCUCAUCUUUCACGGGAGAGGCAAAGAGCUGGGCUGCACGAUCUGCCUGCGUCGGCACAGAAUUUUCCUCUCCCUUCUGGACCGCAAGUACUACUUAAGAUUUGUUUUGGAUCCAUCUGGACAUUCUUCCAGAAAGUCAGCCUUAGCCCCAGCACAGACAUAUUUAGGGUUAAAGGCAUCCACGUUUAUAAGAAGUAAAGGCCAACUAUGAUUCCUCACUAUGUGGUAUAAAAAGAACUCUACCUUCUGGAAAAUAAAG